UACGGAGGGAGCUAGCGUUGUUCGGAAUUACUGGGCGUAAAGCGCACGUAGGCGGCUUUGCAAGUAAGAGGUGAAAGCCCGGGGCUCAACUCCGGAAUUGCCUUUAAAACUGCAUCGCUAGAGUUGUGGAGAGGUAAGUGGAAUUCUGAGUGUAGAGGUGAAAUUCGUAGAUAUUCGGAAGAACACCAGUGGCGAAGGCGACUUACUGGACACAUACUGACGCUGAGGUGCGAAGGCGUGGGGAGCAAACAGG
Molecule: ribosomal RNA, 253 nt
Filed under: uncultured bacterium
Lineage: Bacteria
Description: partial 16S ribosomal RNA
Rfam family: Bacterial small subunit ribosomal RNA
Source: RNAcentral